RNAcentral lists this ribosomal RNA (253 nucleotides) under uncultured bacterium. RNAcentral describes it as "partial 16S ribosomal RNA". It matches the Rfam family "Bacterial small subunit ribosomal RNA", at positions 524 to 776 of the family's 1533-position model. The record is from RNAcentral.
UACGAAGGGGGCGAGCGUUGUUCGGAAUUACCGGGCGUAAAGGGCGCGCAGGCGGCCUUUCAAGUCAGAUGUGAAAGCCCCGGGCUCAACCUGGGAAUGGCAUUUGGGACUGGAAGGCUCGAGAUCGGGAGAGGAGGGUGGAAUUCCCAGUGUAGAGGUGAAAUUCGUAGAUAUUGGGAAGAACACCGGUGGCGAAGGCGGCUCUCUGGACCGAUACUGACGCUGAGGCGCGAAAGCGCGGGGAGCAAACAGG